UACGUAGGUUGCAAGCGUUGUCCGGUUUUACUGGGUUUAAAGGGUGCGCAGGCGGCCUAUUAAGUUAGUGGUGAAAACGUUCGGCUUAACCGGAUACCCGCCAUUGAUACUGAUAGACUUGAGUGCGACAGAGGGUGUUGGAAUGUGUGGUGUAGCGGUGAAAUGCUUAGAUAUCACGCAGAACACCAAUUGCGAAGGCAGAUGCCUAUGUCGUAACUGACGCUGAGGCACGAAAGCGUGGGGAGCAAACAGG
RNAcentral lists this ribosomal RNA (253 nucleotides) under uncultured bacterium. Its description in RNAcentral is "partial 16S ribosomal RNA". It matches the Rfam family "Bacterial small subunit ribosomal RNA", at positions 524 to 776 of the family's 1533-position model. The record is from RNAcentral.